RNAcentral lists this long non-coding RNA (1982 nucleotides) under Theobroma cacao (cacao). RNAcentral describes it as "long non-coding RNA (TCAC_LNC004973)". Lineage: Eukaryota; Viridiplantae; Streptophyta; Magnoliopsida; Malvales; Malvaceae. The record is from RNAcentral.
GCCAAACCAGCAAGAAGAGAGAGAAAACAAAAACCAAAUCCUAGAGAGAGAAAAUCAAAGAAAAAGUGUGAAUUUUCAAGGAAAUUAAGUGAAAAAGGUGAGAUUUUUUCUAUUAAGCUUGAGUUUUCUUAUUCCCAAGCAUUUCUCUUUAUUUUCCAUGAUUAAAUUACAUGUUUUCAUGAUGAAUUCAAUUCUGAAAAAAUGGGUUAGGAGAGAGAAAGUUGUUGGAUUUAUUUGAUUUUAAUUUAUGUUAGUGUUUUUAGUUAGUUUAGCAUAUUUAGAAACAAAACAACAAGAAAAGAAUUUAUUUUCUCCCCCAACCAUUAAUGGCUGAAUUUACCAUGUAGUGAGUGAGGAUGAGUUUGAUUUUAUUCUAGGAGAAUUGGUUAAGGAAUAAUGAAUUAUGAGCCUAGAAAAAUAAUGNNNNNNNNNNNNNNNNNNNNNNNNNNNNNNNNNNNNNNNNNNNNNNNNNNNNNNNNNAUUAUGAAAUCAUGGUUUUUGAUAUGGAAAUUAAUGAAUUAUGGAAAGAAAAUCAAGUAGGAAAAAUUGUGACAAUGAUGCACCAUUUUGGCCGAAUUUUUCCAAGAAGGAAUAUGAAUGUGGCUUUGCUGAUUUUUGGGUUAUUUGGCUGGACAUUGGUGAUUUGAAGCAUUAGAAAAAGAAAUGGGAUCAAUUGGAGCUAAAUUGGAUGUGUAUUUCAAUUUAUCGGGUAAAAGACCGAAAUAGGUUAAUACAGUGUUUAGGCAAAAUUUAGACCUUUUGCAUUCCAUAUCAUGCAUUAGUAGUCUAAAUUUGUUUAAUUUCAAUUUAGUACCAAUGUGGUGAAUUUCUUGAUUUUGUAUUGUGUCAAGGUGGUGAGUCCUCCGAUAAAGGCAAGGGAAUUGCAUCCGAAGACCAGUAGUCUGAGUAUUUCGAAAAUCCCCACUCUAGACAUUGUGAGUAACCUUAUCAUCAUUUUAAUUAUCUAAAGUAUGUUUUAACUCGGUUUUGGUGAAAUUUAUAUGAAAAUGAGUUAAAUGGCUAAGUUUAGGUUUUGCAAACAAAAAUGUGUUUAAAUGAAAAGAUUUUAUAAAUUGUCUUGAAACGAAAUAACGAUUUUGAAAAUAGAGUAAUUAGAGACCACUGGUAUGUUGCAAAUUUAUGAUUGGAAAUUGAUGGCUUAUGUUAUAUUGUUCAUGACUGGUUGGGCUGUAUUUUAUGAAUUGUAUGAAUUAUUUUAUUUUACCCUUGCAAGCUGGGUAGUAUUAUAUUAGCCCUGUCAUGUUGUUAAAAUUUUAUUGUAUGGUGGGUUUAGCUUGCUGCAGUAGGCGAGUUUUGUGGACCAGCCUAUUAGAGGGGUACAAAAUCUAGAUAUAUAUAUAUGUACCUCAGUUGGAGAGGCGCGUAGGGUAUCUCUUGAGGUAUGGUUAGAGUUCACGUCACACCGAACCACCUCAUGACGAUGAACUCUGCUAACGCCAAGGAAUGACUGUAUUUUUCAAACUAAAAAUAUGUUUUACGAGUAUACAAAAUUUUAACAGCCUUGGCGGGCUCAAGUGUAUGCCUCUGAUCAAGGUGUCAUCCAGUAUAUUUGAUGGCAUGAGCCAACUGUUUAUGAAAGUCAUAAGCCCUAAUGAGAAAUUAAAUGAAAUACAACCGUUUGCAUGGGUUGGAAUGAAUUUUCAAAUUGUUAAAUACUUAAAAUAAUGGGAUAUUUUAAUUGUCUCAUUUUACUCGGCUUUAGCUUAUUUAAAUGGUGUUUGUUUACUCACUAGGAUUUUAUAAUCUCACCACCCUCCUUUCCACCCAUUUCAGGAUCAGAGUAGUCUGUAAAUAGCUGGUUCCAUCGGGGAUUUCCAUUGGAUUGCGUUUUCCAAACUGUAAGUUCACAGCUUCUUUAAUUCUAAUUAUUAUGGGCCCACUUGAUUAUUGUAAAUUUAAUAGUUUAUUUUGCUACAAUAUGAUGAAUUUAUUUUGUUUUUACGUUACAAAAAGUAUUUACG